RNAcentral lists this unclassified non-coding RNA (335 nucleotides) under soil metagenome. RNAcentral's name for it is "partial contains 5.8S ribosomal RNA, internal transcribed spacer 2, and large subunit ribosomal RNA". The stretch from base 1 to 120 matches the Rfam family "5.8S ribosomal RNA", at positions 35 to 154 of the family's 154-position model. The record is from RNAcentral.
GAUGAAGAACGUAGCGAAAUGCGAUAAGUAGUGUGAAUUGCAGAAUUCAGUGAAUCAUCGAAUCUUUGAACGCACAUUGCGCCCUUUGGUAUUCCUUAGGGCAUGCCUGUUCGAGCGUCAUUUAAACCUUCAAGCCCUGCUUGGUGUUGGGUGCCUGUCCCGCCUCCGCGCGUGGACUCACCUCAAAUCCAUUGGCGGCCCCCGCACGGCCACGAGCGCAGCAGAAACGCAAACUCGUGCCCCGACUGGGCGGCUCCCAGAAGCUACACUCACCAUUUUGACCUCGGAUCAGGUAGGGAUACCCGCUGAACUUAAGCAUAUCAAUAAGCGGAGGA